RNAcentral lists this ribosomal RNA (754 nucleotides) under uncultured bacterium. Its description in RNAcentral is "bacterial SSU rRNA". It matches the Rfam family "Bacterial small subunit ribosomal RNA", at positions 135 to 890 of the family's 1533-position model. The record is from RNAcentral.
ACUUGGGGAUAACCUUGCGAAAGUAAGACUAAUACCCAAUGACGUCUCUAGAAGACAUCUGAAGGAGAUUAAAGAUUUAUCGGUGAUGGAUGGGGAUGCGUCUGAUUAGCUUGUUGGCGGGGUAACGGCCCACCAAGGCGACGAUCAGUAGGGGUUCUGAGAGGAAGGUCCCCCACAUUGGAACUGAGACACGGUCCAAACUCCUACGGGAGGCAGCAGUGAGGAAUAUUGGUCAAUGGACGAGAGUCUGAACCAGCCAAGUAGCGUGCAGGAUGACGGCCCUAUGGGUUGUAAACUGCUUUUAUAAGGGAAUAAAGUGAGUCUCGUGAGACUUUUUGCAUGUACCUUAUGAAUAAGGACCGGCUAAUUCCGUGCCAGCAGCCGCGGUAAUACGGAAGGUCCGGGCGUUAUCCGGAUUUAUUGGGUUUAAAGGGAGCGUAGGCCGGAGAUUAAGCGUGUUGUGAAAUGUAGACGCUCAACGUCUGCACUGCAGCGCGAACUGGUUUCCUUGAGUACGCACAAAGUGGGCGGAAUUCGUGGUGUAGCGGUGAAAUGCUUAGAUAUCACGAAGAACUCCGAUUGCGAAGGCAGCUCACUGGAGCGCAACUGACGCUGAAGCUCGAAAGUGCGGGUAUCGAACAGGAUUAGAUACCCUGGUAGUCCGCACGGUAAACGAUGGAUGCCCGCUGUUGGUCUGAAUAGGUCAGCGGCCAAGCGAAAGCAUUAAGCAUCCCACCUGGGGAGUACGCCGGCA